RNAcentral lists this ribosomal RNA (265 nucleotides) under uncultured bacterium. RNAcentral describes it as "partial 16S ribosomal RNA". It matches the Rfam family "Bacterial small subunit ribosomal RNA", at positions 8 to 263 of the family's 1533-position model. The record is from RNAcentral.
AGGGUUUGAUCCUGGCUCGGGAUGAACGCUAGCUACAGGCUUAACACAUGCAAGUCGAGGGGCAUCAGUUUGGUUUGCUUGCAAACCAAAGCUGGCGACCGGCGCACGGGUGAGUAACACGUAUCCAACCUGCCUCAUACUCGGGGAUAGCCUUUCGAAAGAAAGAUUAAUAUCCGAUAGCAUAUAUUUCCCGCAUGGGUUUUAUAUUAAAGAAAUUCGGUAUGAGAUGGGGAUGCGUUCCAUUAGUUUGUUGGCGGGGUAACGG